RNAcentral lists this ribosomal RNA (457 nucleotides) under uncultured bacterium. RNAcentral's name for it is "SSU rRNA". It matches the Rfam family "Bacterial small subunit ribosomal RNA", at positions 26 to 518 of the family's 1533-position model. The record is from RNAcentral.
AGGACGAACGCUGGCGGCGUGCCUAAUGCAUGCAAGUCGCACGCAUCCUUCGGGAUGAGUGGCGCACGGCUGAGGAGCGCGUGACUAACCUGCCCCCGGUGUGGGGGGAUAACAGGCCGAAAGGUCUGCUAAUCCCGCAUACGAUCGCCUUCGGGCGAGGAAAGCCUUCGGGCGCACUGGGAGGGGGUCGCGCCCCAUUAGUUAGUUGGUGUGGUAAUGGCGCACCAAGACGAUGAUGGGUUCCGGGUCUGAGAGGACGAUCCGGCAGACUGGGACUGAGACACGGCCCAGACUCCUACGGGGGGCAGCAGCAAGGGAUUUUCGGCAAUGGGCGCAAGCCUGACCGAGCAACGCCGCGUGCAGGAUGACGGCUUUCGGGUUGUAAACUGCUUUCGGGUGGGACGAUACUGACGGUACCACCAAAAUCAGGUCCGGCUAACUACGCGCCAGCAGCCGC